GAAGUGGCCCAGACCGCCGCUGGGGCAAGACCCGAAAGGGUGCCCUGGAGGAAGGUCCGGACUGCAUAGAGCAGCGUAGGGGGUAACACCCCUCCGGCGUGAGCCGAGGAUCAGAGCAACAGAGACGAGUUUGAGUGGGUAGCGCGGGCGCGGUGCAAGCUGCAACCGCCGCGAAACCGUUCAGGGGUGGUCUGCGGGUCCAGCGCAAGCUGGGAGCCGGUGCGCAAGCGCCGGCUUUGGGUGCAACCCAAAACCCGCAGCACCUUGGGCGGCCCGGGCGCCGCAAGGCACUCGACCCGCCCAAGGUGAAACGGGCAAUCUCUACGCGCAGCAACACCAAGUAGGCCGGUUUUGAGGUGGCUCGCUGAGCCGGCGGGUAGGUGGCAUCGAGCCGGGGUGUGAGCCCCGGCCCAGAGGAAUGGCGGUCACCGCAAUCGAAAGAGAGCGGACACAGAAUCCGGCCUAUCGGGCCGCUUCACGA
Molecule: RNase P RNA, 481 nt
Filed under: Inhella inkyongensis
Lineage: Bacteria; Pseudomonadati; Pseudomonadota; Betaproteobacteria; Burkholderiales; Sphaerotilaceae
Description: Bacterial RNase P class A
Rfam family: Bacterial RNase P class A
About the family: Ribonuclease P (RNase P) is a ubiquitous endoribonuclease, found in archaea, bacteria and eukarya as well as chloroplasts and mitochondria. Its best characterised activity is the generation of mature 5'-ends of tRNAs by cleaving the 5'-leader elements of precursor-tRNAs. Cellular RNase Ps are ribonucleoproteins.
Source: Rfam by way of RNAcentral